UAUUUCCUUUGAUCUCCUUUGAUUCUAACAUUUCAACAUUUUAUUCAACUCUCUCUAUUUGUUUUCACUAAUUCAUAUUAUUUACAGGUUCGGAGAAUGCAGAUGGAGAUGUCGCCUCUAUACAUGUACCUGAAGUUAUUCUAUGAAUUCGGAGCUGGGAAUAUAGAGAACGUUAGUAGAACCGAAGAAGACGACGAAUAAGGUUUGGGAGACUCAUCAAGUUUCCAUUGAAAUAGGAUCUACAAAGAAUACAAAGAGG
Molecule: unclassified non-coding RNA, 259 nt
Filed under: Arabidopsis thaliana (thale cress)
Lineage: Eukaryota; Viridiplantae; Streptophyta; Magnoliopsida; Brassicales; Brassicaceae
Source: RNAcentral